AUUUCCGGAAUAAUAAUAACAUAUCAUUCCCACUGAAGUGUUAUUUACAAAGAUGCAAUGCAUUAUGCAGGGAGUGGAGUUUUGGCUUCCGGGUCCAGAUGAACCUGAUAUCUGGGUCGUCCAGGAUCGCACGGGGAUGUGUGCCGUGUAUUUUUCAGCUGGACUACGGGAACAGAAAAGAUGGGAAAAGCAGAUGUACGUAUAGUGUCAGAGAGCGGCUAGAGAGCCGGUGGGCGGCGGCCGCGGCGGCGGGUGCCUCGGCUGUGUUCUCGCACGCUGCCGCACUAAUCUCGUGGGCGGGCGUGUCUCUGAUUAGCGGUGGCGCAGCCAUGGCGAUGGAUUUCCCCGUCUCUCCGAUGGACAGGUUGCCCAUCUUCUCGGAUGAAGCCUGUAGCGUGGUGGCCCUUGUAAGGUACAGGAUAUAUCUCCUCUAGAUUAUAGUUCACACACACUCACGAUCUGAUACAGGAAUUGAGUUACAGAUGAACUGGGGGAGCAGAGGUAGGAGAAGAGAGGAAGGUAGCCGCCGCUGGGUUGGUCCGUGAUCCACUGGAUGGUUUGCUCCUUGCCUUCGAUCUGGUACUUGUAGUUGCAGCGAUGGGGUAGCAGGCGGGCCAGGUCCAUGAGCGGCCCAGUGGGCAAGCCCAUGUGCGUACAUGCUAGGAGGGCUCCUAACAGCCCUGAUGGAGUUUGAUUGGUGGGGCUGGUCUUGGGGAAGAAGACUCCGCCAAUGGGUGUCGCGGGGCGGUCAUCUGUGGAUUAGGGUGGAGCUCUCUUGGCCAGUGUGCUGCUGUGUGCGCGCGAGGAAAGUGUUGCUGCCGGCGGCGCCACCAUGUCUUUUACAGUGAGAGUGAGGGUGACAACGCUGAUGCCAUUGAACACGACUGUGUUGAAGCACAUCUUGAUAUGGACCAGGAGGCUUUGAUUCAAGAUCGAACAGAGAGUGCUGAUGGAGGCUCUGGGUGGACUAAGAGGAGUGCAGGGUGAGAAUCGGUAAUCAGCCUCCGGAUAGGGCUCCAUGUCAUGAAAGAGUCGGCGCAGUGGAACAGACAAUUAAGGAGUAUGCUGAUAAACUGGGGGACCAUGUAGUUGAGCUUGCUAUUGGUUUAACAUUUGACUCGUUGGGCGAAGCAUAUGAUUUCUAUAGCCCGUACUCAUGGGAGCAUGGUUUCAGCAUAAGGUACGGCAAAAGUAGGCUGAAUGCCGAGAAGACGAAGUGUAUGCAGGAAGUGGUUUAUGGAUGCUCUGUUGUACCAUAUAAGGAUGGAACUGUGGAUGGAGCUCUGUGCAGAUGAGGAUAUUUUUGGAGGCGUAUGGAGGAAGAUGACCGUGGCCCCGGUUAGGUGAGGCUGGGUGAGGGUGGGAGUUGGGCUGACGGCGUCGUUCGUUUUCUGCCAGUGGCCCAGGUGCAUCCAGGCGUGUGUACCACCGGCCAGGUCCGUCUGUACCACGUGGGCCGUAGCUAGCGUCGUCAUGCAAUAAAUGCACUGUGUGGGCCAGCAGGGAGAUUCUGCCGAACGAAUACCAUAUGAAAGAGGUAAAAGCACUCGGAGUCAUA
Molecule: non-coding RNA, 1558 nt
Organism: Aegilops tauschii subsp. strangulata
Lineage: Eukaryota; Viridiplantae; Streptophyta; Magnoliopsida; Poales; Poaceae
Source: RefSeq, a predicted model, not a curated record